This 432-nucleotide ribosomal RNA is filed under the name Triticum aestivum (bread wheat). RNAcentral describes it as "partial small subunit ribosomal RNA". Lineage: Eukaryota; Viridiplantae; Streptophyta; Magnoliopsida; Poales; Poaceae. The record is from RNAcentral.
AUGGCACGAGGCAACCUCGUUCGUGGGCUACCUCACAUCGAGCACGCUGAUGAGCUGUGUGAUGCAUGUCUUGCGGGGAAGCAACGACGUUUGCCGUUUCCCGAGAAGGCACGCUAUCGGGCGCAGAAACCCCUGGAGCUGGUUCACGCGGACCUCUGUGGCCCAAUCACCCCGGCAACGCCAGGAGGGCGUCGCUACAUCCUGCUGCUUGUCGACGACUAUAGCAGGUUCAUGUGGGUGCUGCUCCUCGCCUCCAAGGACGAGGCGGAGCAAGCCAUUGUCAAGCAGCAAGCGGCAGCAGAGGUCGAGUGCGGCCACAAGUUGCACGUGCUGCGCACGGACCGUGGCGGCGAGUUCACGUCGGCCACGUUCUACAAGCACUGCGACGAGAAAGGGAUGCAACGUCACCUCACAGCCCCUUACUCGCCGUAG